AACGCUAGCUACAGGCUUAACACAUGCAAGUCGAGGGGCAGCACGGGAGUAGCAAUACAACUGGUGGCGACCGGCGCACGGGUGAGUAACGCGUAUGCAACCUACCUAUCAGAGGGGAAUAACCCGGCGAAAGUCGGACUAAUACCGCAUAAAACAGGGGCACCGCAUGGUGAUAUUUGUUAAAGAAAUUCGCUGAUAGAUGGGCAUGCGUUCCAUUAGGUAGUUGGUGAGGUAACGGCUCACCAAGCCGACGAUGGAUAGGGGAACUGAGAGGUUGGUCCCCCACACUGGUACUGAGACACGGACCAGACUCCUACGGGAGGCAGCAGUGAGGAAUAUUGGUCAAUGGGCGAGAGCCUGAACCAGCCAAGUCGCGUGAAGGAAGAAGGAUCUAUGGUUCGUAAACUUCUUUUGCAGGGGAAUAAUGUGCGGGACGUGUCCUGUUUUGUAUGUACCCUGAGAAUAAGGAUCGGCUAACUCCGUGCCAGCAGCCGCGGUAAUACGGAGGAUCCGAGCGUUAUCCGGAUUUAUUGGGUUUAAAGGGAGCGUAGGCCGUCUGUUAAGCGUGUUGUGAAAUGUAGAUGCUCAACAUCUGAAUUGCAGCGCGAACUGGCAGACUUGAGUGUGCGCAACGUAGGCGGAAUUCGUGGUGUAGCGGUGAAAUGCUUAGAUAUCACGAAGAACUCCGAUUG
RNAcentral lists this ribosomal RNA (692 nucleotides) under uncultured bacterium. RNAcentral's name for it is "bacterial SSU rRNA". It matches the Rfam family "Bacterial small subunit ribosomal RNA", at positions 32 to 715 of the family's 1533-position model. The record is from RNAcentral.